RNAcentral lists this ribosomal RNA (498 nucleotides) under uncultured bacterium. Its description in RNAcentral is "partial 16S ribosomal RNA". It matches the Rfam family "Bacterial small subunit ribosomal RNA", at positions 28 to 507 of the family's 1533-position model. The record is from RNAcentral.
GACGAACGCUGGCGGCAUGCCUAAUACAUGCAAGUCGAACGAGAGCGACCGGUGCUUGCACUGGUCAAUCUAGUGGCGAACGGGUGAGUAACACGUGGGUAACCUGCCCAUCAGAGGGGGAUAACAUCCGGAAACGGAUGCUAAAACCGCAUAGGUCUUCGAACCGCAUGGUUUGAAGAGGAAAAGAGGCGCAAGCUUCUGCUGAUGGAUGGACCCGCGGUGCAUUAGCUAGUUGGUGAGGUAACGGCUCACCAAGGCCGUGAUGCAUAGCCGACCUGAGAGGGUGAUCGGCCACAUUGGGACUGAGACACGGCCCAAACUCCUACGGGAGGCAGCAGUAGGGAAUCUUCCGCAAUGGACGCAAGUCUGACGGAGCAACGCCGCGUGAGUGAAGAAGGUUUUCGGAUCGUAAAACUCUGUUGUUAGAGAAGAACAAGUGCUAGAGUAACUGUUAGCGCCUUGACGGUAUCUAACCAGAAAGCCACGGCUAACUACGUG